RNAcentral lists this ribosomal RNA (242 nucleotides) under uncultured bacterium. Its description in RNAcentral is "partial 16S ribosomal RNA". It matches the Rfam family "Bacterial small subunit ribosomal RNA", at positions 334 to 568 of the family's 1533-position model. The record is from RNAcentral.
UGUUCCUACGGGGGGCAGCAGUAGGGAAUCUUCCACAAUGGACGAAAGUCUGAUGGAGCAACGCCGCGUGAGUGAAGAAGGGUUUCGGCUCGUAAAGCUCUGUUGGUAGUGAAGAAAGAUAGAGGUAGUAACUGGCCUUUAUUUGACGGUAAUUAUUUAGAAAGUCACGGCUAACUACGUGCCAGCAGCCGCGGUAAUACGUAGGUGGAAAGCGUUGUACGGAAUUAUUGGGCGUAAAGCGA